UGAGGAAUAUUGGACAAUGGGCGCAAGCCUGAUCCAGCCAUGCCGCGUGCAGGAAGAAGGCGUUAUGCGUUGUAAACUGCUUUUGCCAGGGGAUAAAAAGACCGUGCGCGGUUAAUUGAAGGUACCUGGUGAAUAAGCCACGGCUAACUACGUGCCAGCAGCCGCGGUAAUACGUAGGUGGCAAGCGUUGUCCGGAUUUAUUGGGUUUAAAGGGUGCGUAGGUGGCCCUGUAAGUCAGUGGUGAAAUAUCUCAGCUUAACUGAGAGGGUGCCAUUGAUACUGCAGGGCUUGAGUACAGAUGAGGUAGGCGGAAUUGACGGUGUAGCGGUGAAAUGCAUAGAUAUCGUCAAGAACACCGAUAGCGAAGGCAGCUUACCAAGCUGUAACUGACACUGAGGCACGAAAGUGUGGGGAUCAAACAGGAUUAGAUACCCUCGUAGUCCCUGAGCGGGCUGGCAAGGCGCAU
RNAcentral lists this ribosomal RNA (466 nucleotides) under uncultured bacterium. RNAcentral describes it as "bacterial SSU rRNA". It matches the Rfam family "Bacterial small subunit ribosomal RNA", at positions 355 to 825 of the family's 1533-position model. The record is from RNAcentral.